AUACGGAGGGUGCAAGCGUUACUCGGAAUCACUGGGCGUAAAGCGCGCGCAGGCGGCCUGAUAAGUUGGAUGUGAAAGCCUACGGCUCAACCGUAGAACUGCAUCCAAAACUGUCAGGCUAGAGUGUGGGAGAGGAAGAUGGAAUUAGUUGUGUAGGGGUAAAAUCCGUAGAGAUAACUAGGAAUACCAAAAGCGAAGGCAAUCUUCUGGAACAGUACUGACGCUGAGGCGCGAAAGCGUGGGGAGCAAACAGGAUUAGAAACCCCUGUAGUCC
Molecule: ribosomal RNA, 274 nt
Filed under: uncultured bacterium
Lineage: Bacteria
Description: partial 16S ribosomal RNA
Rfam family: Bacterial small subunit ribosomal RNA
Source: RNAcentral